GAUGAACGCUGGCGGCGUGCUUAACACAUGCAAGUCGAACGAAGCACUGCGAACGGAUUUCUUCGGAUUGAAGUAUGCAGUGACUGAGUGGCGGACGGGUGAGUAACGCGUGGGUAACCUGCCUUAUACUGGGGGAUAACAGUUAGAAAUGACUGCUAAUACCGCAUAAGCGCACAGGGCCGCAUGGUCUGGUGUGAAAAACUCCGGUGGUAUAAGAUGGACCCGCGUCUGAUUAGCUAGUUGGUAAGGUAAUGGCUUACCAAGGCGACGAUCAGUAGCCGACCUGAGAGGGUGACCGGCCACAUUGGGACUGAGACACGGCCCAAACUCCUACGGGAGGCAGCAGUGGGGAAUAUUGCACAAUGGGGGAAACCCUGAUGCAGCGACGCCGCGUGAAGGAAGAAGUAUUUCGGUAUGUAAACUUCUAUCAGCAGGGAAGAAAAUGACGGUACCUGACUAAGAAGCCCCGGCUAAUUACGUGCCAGCCGCCGCAGUAAGAC
RNAcentral lists this ribosomal RNA (500 nucleotides) under uncultured bacterium. RNAcentral describes it as "bacterial SSU rRNA". It matches the Rfam family "Bacterial small subunit ribosomal RNA", at positions 28 to 526 of the family's 1533-position model. The record is from RNAcentral.